GAGGAGAGCAGGAGGUUUUAUAACUUAUUGGCCUAAAUUAUAGAGAUAAAAUCAUAUUCUAUUUGUUGCAUACCAAAAAGGAAAAUAUGGAGAUAACUCUCAAGAUCGUUUAUGUUAUUAUUUUCGCUCUUUCUCUAUUUCUUAUUGCAAUGAAUAUAGAUGGACGUAUUGAAUGUUUCACUCAUGCUGAUUGUCCGUUAACUAUGUGUCUGGACCAUGGUACUCUUGCGACUUGCGAUAUGAAUUGGUGUAAAUGUAUUCGACCAUAGAUUAUAUAUGUGUAAAGCUAUGGCUUUGUGCUCUAAUAAGAUUAUGGUAAUAAAAUGAAAUAUGGCAGCAAAUAUUAUUAUUUAGAUUGUCU
Molecule: long non-coding RNA, 361 nt
Organism: Cicer arietinum (chickpea)
Lineage: Eukaryota; Viridiplantae; Streptophyta; Magnoliopsida; Fabales; Fabaceae
Source: RefSeq, a predicted model, not a curated record